AACCGUUAUCCAUUGGGGGAUAACGAAGGCCCGUUAGGGGGCGGAUGG
RNAcentral lists this non-coding RNA (48 nucleotides) under unclassified sequences. RNAcentral's name for it is "gut-2 RNA". It matches the Rfam family "gut-2 RNA". From Rfam's summary of the family: gut metagenomes. Environment (Cow rumen (57)) The record is from Rfam by way of RNAcentral.